AGGGUUUGAUCAUGGCUCAGAACGUACGCUGGCGGCACGCCUAAUACAUGCAAGUCGAACGAAGUAGCAAUACUUAGUGGCAGACGGGUGAGUAACAUGUAGGUAUCUACCCUUCAGUCUGGGACAACUCUUGGAAACGGGAGCUAAUACCGGAUAAAACCUUCGGGUUGAAAGAUUUAUCGCUGGGGGAUGAGUCUGCGUACCAUUAGCUUGUUGGUGGGGUAACGGCCUACCAAGGCGACGAUGGUUAGCGGGUCUGAGAGGACGAUCCGCCACACUGGAACUGAGACACGGUCCAGACUCCUACGGGAGGCAGCAGUAGGGAAUCUUGCACAAUGGGGGAAACCCUGAUGCAGCGAUGCCGCGUGAGUGAAGAAGGCCCUUGGGUUGUAAAGCUCUUUCGUCGGGGAAGAAAAUGACUGUACCCGAAUAAGAAGGUCCGGCUAACUUCGUGCCAGCAGCCGCGGUAAUACGAAGGGACCUAGCGUAGUUCGGAAUUACUGGGCUUAAAGAGUUCGUAGGUUGUUAAAAAAGUUGGUGGUGAAAUCCCAGAGCUUAACUCUGGAACUGCCAUCAAAACUUUUUAGCUAGAGUUUGAUAGAGGAAAGCAGAAUUUCUAGUGUAGAGGUGAAAUUCGUAGAUAUUAGAAAGAAUACCAAUUGCGAAGGCAGCUUUCUGGAUCAUUACUGACACUGAGGAACGAAAGCAUGGGUAGCGAAGAGGAUUAGAUACCCUCGUAGUCCAUGCCGUAAACGAUGUGUGUUAGACGUUGGAAAUUUAUUUUCAGUGUCGCAGCGAAAGCGAUAAACACACCGCCUGGGGAGUACGACCGCAAGGUUAAAACUCAAAUGAAUUGACGGGGACCCGCACAAGUAGUGGAGCAUGUGGUUUAAUUCGAAGAUACGCGCAGAACCUUACCAACACUUGACAUGUUCGUCGCGACUUUAAGAGAUUAAAGUUUUCGGUUCGGCCGGACGAAACACAGGUGCUGCAUGGCUGUCGUCAGCUCGUGUCGUGAGAUGUUGGGUUAAGUCCCGCAACGAGCGCAACCCUCACUUUUAGUUGCCAGCAUUUAGUUGGGCACUCUAGAAAGACCGCCGGUGAUAAACCGGAGGAAGGUGUGGAUGACGUCAAGUCAUCAUGCCCCUUACACCCUGGGCUACACACGUACUACAAUGCUACGGACAAAGGGCAGCAAACUCGCGAGAGCUAGCAAAUCCCAUAAACCGUGGCUCAGUUCAGAUCGUAGGCUGCAACUCGCCUACGUGAAGUAGGAAUCGCUAGUAAUCGCAGGUCAGCAUACUGCGGUGAAUACGUUCCCGGGCCUUGUACACACCGCCCGUCACACCAUGGAAGUUGGCCAUGCCCGAAGUCGUUACUCCAACCCUUGUGGAGGAGGACGCCGAAGGUGGGGCUAAUGACUGGGGUGAAGUCGUAACAAGGUAGCCGUA
RNAcentral lists this ribosomal RNA (1451 nucleotides) under uncultured bacterium. Its description in RNAcentral is "partial 16S ribosomal RNA". It matches the Rfam family "Bacterial small subunit ribosomal RNA". The record is from RNAcentral.